RNAcentral lists this ribosomal RNA (467 nucleotides) under uncultured bacterium. Its description in RNAcentral is "partial 16S ribosomal RNA". It matches the Rfam family "Bacterial small subunit ribosomal RNA", at positions 28 to 506 of the family's 1533-position model. The record is from RNAcentral.
GACGAACGCUGGCGGCGUGCUUAACACAUGCAAGUCGAACGGAAAGGCCCUGCUUUUGUGGGGUGCUCGAGUGGCGAACGGGUGAGUAACACGUGAGUAACCUGCCCUUGACUUUGGGAUAACUUCAGGAAACUGGGGCUAAUACCGGAUAGGAGCUCCUGCUGCAUGGUGGGGGUUGGAAAGUUUCGGCGGUUGGGGAUGGACUCGCGGCUUAUCAGCUUGUUGGUGGGGUAGUGGCUUACCAAGGCUUUGACGGGUAGCCGGCCUGAGAGGGUGACCGGCCACAUUGGGACUGAGAUAGUGCCCAGACUCCUACGGGAGGCAGCAGUGGGGAAUAUUGCACAAUGGGCGGAAGCCUGAUGCAGCAACGCCGCGUGCGGGAUGACGGCCUUCGGGUUGUAAACCGCUUUCGCCUGUGACGAAGCGUGAGUGACGGGAAUGGGUAAAGAAGCACCGGCUAACUACGU